AGAUGGGCAUGCGUCUGAUUAGGUAGUUGGUGAGGUAAUGGCUCACCAAGCCGACGAUCAGUAGGGGUUCUGAGAGGAUUACCCCCCACACUGGUACUGAGACACGGACCAGACUCCUACGGGAGGCAGCAGUGAGGAAUAUUGGUCAAUGGCCGGAAGGCUGAACCAGCCAUCCCGCGUGCAGGAUGACGGCCCUAUGGGUUGUAAACUGCUUUUGUACCUGAAGAAACCUGGUUACGAGUAACCAGUUGCCGGUAAGGUAUGAAUAAGCAUCGGCUAACUCCGUGCCAGCAGCCGCGGUAAUACGGAGGAUGCAAGCGUUAUCCGGAUUCAUUGGGUUUAAAGGGUGCGCAGGUGGGAAAAUAAGUCAGUGGUGAAAUACUGCCGCUUAACGGUAGAAUUGCCAUUGAUACUGUUUUUCUUGAGUAUGGUUGAGGUAGGUGGAAUGUGUUGUGUAGCGGUGAAAUGCAUAGAUAUGACACAGAACGCCGAUUGCGAAGGCAGCUUACUAAGCCAUUACUGACGCUGAGGCACGAAAGCGUGGGGAUCAAACAGGAUUAGAUACCCUGGUAGUCCACGCCGUAAACGAUGAUCACUCGCUGUUUGCGAUAUACAGCAAGCGGCUGAGCGAAAGCAUUAA
RNAcentral lists this ribosomal RNA (640 nucleotides) under uncultured bacterium. RNAcentral's name for it is "bacterial SSU rRNA". It matches the Rfam family "Bacterial small subunit ribosomal RNA", at positions 223 to 863 of the family's 1533-position model. The record is from RNAcentral.